ACAGAGGUCCCAAGCGUUGUUCGGAUUUACUGGGCGUAAAGGGAGCGUAGGUGGCUUGUUAAGUCUGGUGUGAAAUCUCUGAGCUUAACUCAGAAACUGCACUAGAUACUAGCGAGCUUGAGUGUUGGAGGGGAGAUUGGAAUUCUCGGUGUAGCAGUGAAAUGCGUAGAUAUCGAGAGGAACACCAGUGGCGAAGGCGAAUCUCUGGACAACAACUGACACUGAUGCUCGAAAGCUAGGGGAUCAAACGGGAUUAGAUACCCCGGUAGUCCUAGCUGUAAACGGUGCACGCUUGCUGUAAGUGGAAUCAACCCCACUUGUGGCGUAGCUAACGCGAUAAGCAUGCCGCCUGGGAAGUACGGUCGCAAGAUUA
This 373-nucleotide ribosomal RNA is filed under the name uncultured bacterium. RNAcentral describes it as "bacterial SSU rRNA". It matches the Rfam family "Bacterial small subunit ribosomal RNA", at positions 525 to 896 of the family's 1533-position model. The record is from RNAcentral.